AGUGAACGCUGGCGGUAGGCCUAACACAUGCAAGUCGAACGGCAGCACAGUAAGAGCUUGCUCUUACGGGUGGCGAGUGGCGGACGGGUGAGGAAUACAUCGGAAUCUACUUUUUCGUGGGGGAUAACGUAGGGAAACUUACGCUAAUACCGCAUACGACCUACGGGUGAAAGCAGGGGAUCUUCGGACCUUGCGCGAUUGAAUGAGCCGAUGUCGGAUUAGCUAGUUGGCGGGGUAAAGGCCCACCAAGGCGACAAUCCGUAGCUGGUCUGAGAGGAUGAUCAGCCACACUGGAACUGAGACACGGUCCAGACUCCUACGGGAGGCAGCAGUGGGGAAUAUUGGACAAUGGGCGCAAGCCUGAUCCAGCCAGACCGCGUGGGUGAAGAAGGCCUUCGGGUUGUAAAGCCCUUUUGUUGGGAAAGAAAAGCAGCAGGUUAAUACCCCGCUGUUCUGACGGUACCCAAAGAAUAAGCACCGGCUAACUUCGG
Molecule: ribosomal RNA, 491 nt
Filed under: uncultured bacterium
Lineage: Bacteria
Description: partial 16S ribosomal RNA
Rfam family: Bacterial small subunit ribosomal RNA
Source: RNAcentral